This 512-nucleotide ribosomal RNA is filed under the name uncultured Entrophosporaceae. RNAcentral describes it as "SSU rRNA". It matches the Rfam family "Eukaryotic small subunit ribosomal RNA", at positions 569 to 1078 of the family's 1831-position model. Lineage: Eukaryota; Fungi; Glomeromycota; Glomeromycetes; Entrophosporales; Entrophosporaceae. The record is from RNAcentral.
AGCAGCCGCGGUAAUUCCAGCUCCAAUAGCGUAUAUUAAAGUUGUUGCAGUUAAAAAGCUCGUAGUUGAAUUUCGGGAUUGACGUGACGGUCAUGCCUUAAGGGGUAUGAACUGUUACAGUUGAUUUCUCACCUUCUGGAGAAACUUGAUGUCCUUUAUUGGGUGUCUUGCGGAUCCAGGACCUUUACCUUAAAAAUUAGAGUGUUUAAAGCAGGCAUUUUUGCUCGAAUACAUUAGCAUGGAAUAAUAGAAUAGGACGGCAUGGUUCUAUUUUGUUGGUUUCUAGGAUCACCGUAAUGAUUAAUAGGGAUAGUUGGGGGCAUUAGUAUUCAAUUGUCAGAGGUGAAAUUCUUGGAUUUAUUGAAGACUAACUACUGCGAAAGCAUUUGCCAAGGAUGUUUUCAUUAAUCAAGAACGAAAGUUAGGGGAUCGAAGACGAUCAGAUACCGUCGUAGUCUUAACCAUAAACUAUGCCGACUAGGAAUCAGACGAUGUUAAUUUUUAAUGACUCG